ACAACUAUACUUUCAGGGAUCAUUUCUAUAGUUCAUUAAAAGGGACUUUGAUGAAGUAAGAGUUAAGAGAAUCAAAGAUGAUGUUGAAGUGCCAAGUUUGA
Molecule: small nucleolar RNA, 101 nt
Filed under: Zalophus californianus (California sea lion)
Lineage: Eukaryota; Metazoa; Chordata; Mammalia; Carnivora; Otariidae
Description: Small nucleolar RNA U3 (ENSZCAG00015005539.1)
Rfam family: Small nucleolar RNA U3
About the family: Small nucleolar RNAs (snoRNAs) are involved in the processing and modification of rRNA in the nucleolus. There are two main classes of snoRNAs: the box C/D class, and the box H/ACA class.
Source: RNAcentral